Molecule: ribosomal RNA, 436 nt
Filed under: uncultured bacterium
Lineage: Bacteria
Description: bacterial SSU rRNA
Rfam family: Bacterial small subunit ribosomal RNA
Source: RNAcentral
UGAGGAAUAUUGGUCAAUGGGCGAGAGCCUGAACCAGCCAAGUCGCGUGAGGGAAGACGGUCCUAUGGAUUGUAAACCUCUUUUGUCGGGGAGCAAGGCCACUCACGAGUGAGUGGAAGGAGAGUACCCGAAGAAAAUGCAUCGGCUAACUCCGUGCCAGCAGCCGCGGUAAUACGGAGGAUGCGAGCGUUAUCCGGAUUUAUUGGGUUUAAAGGGUGCGUAGGCGGACUGUUAAGUCAGCGGUCAAAUUGUCGGUGCUCAACGCCGGCCCUGCCGUUGAAACUGGCGGUCUUGAGUGAGCGAGAAGUAUGCGGAAUGCGUGGUGUAGCGGUGAAAUGCAUAGAUAUCACGCAGAACUCCGAUUGCGAAGGCAGCAUACCGGCGCUCAACUGACGCUGAGGCACGAAAGCGUGGGGAUCGAACAGGAUUAGAUACC